UUCUUGAGAGCGGCGGACGGGUGAGUAAUGCCUAGGAAUCUGCCUAGUGGUGGGGGAUAACGUUCGGAAACGGACGCUAAUACCGCAUACGUCCUACGGGAGAAAGCGGGGGACCUUCGGGCCUCGCGCCAUUAGAUGAGCCUAGGUCGGAUUAGCUAGUUGGUGAGGUAAUGGCUCACCAAGGCGACGAUCCGUAACUGGUCUGAGAGGAUGAUCAGUCACACUGGAACUGAGACACGGUCCAGACUCCUACGGGAGGCAGCAGUGGGGAAUAUUGGACAAUGGGCGAAAGCCUGAUCCAGCCAUGCCGCGUGUGUGAAGAAGGUCUUCGGAUUGUAAAGCACUUUAAGUUGGGAGGAAGGGUAGUAACUUAAUACGUUGCUACUUUGACGUUACCGACAGAAUAAGCACCGGCUAACUUCGUGCCAGCAGCCGCGGUAAUACGAAGGGUGCAAGCGUUAAUCGGAAUUACUGGGCGUAAAGCGCGCGUAGGUGGUUCAGUAAGUUGGAAGUGAAAUCCCCGGGCUCAACCUGGGAACUGCUUUCAAAACUGCUGAGCUAGAGUACGGUAGAGGGUGGUGGAAUUUCCUGUGUAGCGG
This 599-nucleotide ribosomal RNA is filed under the name Rheinheimera pacifica. Its description in RNAcentral is "bacterial SSU rRNA". It matches the Rfam family "Bacterial small subunit ribosomal RNA", at positions 86 to 681 of the family's 1533-position model. Lineage: Bacteria; Pseudomonadati; Pseudomonadota; Gammaproteobacteria; Chromatiales; Chromatiaceae. The record is from RNAcentral.